GUUCCUGUAGUUGAAGUGACAACGGUGAUUUUUCAGAUCAUAAGUCCUAGGUAAAAUUAGGCGGGAACU
Molecule: transfer RNA, 69 nt
Filed under: Rhegmatorhina hoffmannsi (white-breasted antbird)
Lineage: Eukaryota; Metazoa; Chordata; Aves; Passeriformes; Thamnophilidae
Description: tRNA-Glu
Source: RNAcentral